This 1366-nucleotide ribosomal RNA is filed under the name Arthrobacter sp. MDT1-36. Its description in RNAcentral is "16S ribosomal RNA". It matches the Rfam family "Bacterial small subunit ribosomal RNA", at positions 77 to 1452 of the family's 1533-position model. Lineage: Bacteria; Bacillati; Actinomycetota; Actinomycetes; Micrococcales; Micrococcaceae. The record is from RNAcentral.
AGCUUGCUGGGGGAUUAGUGGCGAACGGGUGAGUAACACGUGAGUAACCUGCCCUUAACUCUGGGAUAAGCCUGGGAAACUGGGUCUAAUACCGGAUAUGACUCCUCAUCGCAUGGUGGGGGGUGGAAAGCUUUAUUGUGGUUUUGGAUGGACUCGCGGCCUAUCAGCUUGUUGGUGAGGUAAUGGCUCACCAAGGCGACGACGGGUAGCCGGCCUGAGAGGGUGACCGGCCACACUGGGACUGAGACACGGCCCAGACUCCUACGGGAGGCAGCAGUGGGGAAUAUUGCACAAUGGGCGAAAGCCUGAUGCAGCGACGCCGCGUGAGGGAUGACGGCCUUCGGGUUGUAAACCUCUUUCAGUAGGGAAGAAGCGAAAGUGACGGUACCUGCAGAAGAAGCGCCGGCUAACUACGUGCCAGCAGCCGCGGUAAUACGUAGGGCGCAAGCGUUAUCCGGAAUUAUUGGGCGUAAAGAGCUCGUAGGCGGUUUGUCGCGUCUGCCGUGAAAGUCCGGGGCUCAACUCCGGAUCUGCGGUGGGUACGGGCAGACUAGAGUGAUGUAGGGGAGACUGGAAUUCCUGGUGUAGCGGUGAAAUGCGCAGAUAUCAGGAGGAACACCGAUGGCGAAGGCAGGUCUCUGGGCAUUAACUGACGCUGAGGAGCGAAAGCAUGGGGAGCGAACAGGAUUAGAUACCCUGGUAGUCCAUGCCGUAAACGUUGGGCACUAGGUGUGGGGGACAUUCCACGUUUUCCGCGCCGUAGCUAACGCAUUAAGUGCCCCGCCUGGGGAGUACGGCCGCAAGGCUAAAACUCAAAGGAAUUGACGGGGGCCCGCACAAGCGGCGGAGCAUGCGGAUUAAUUCGAUGCAACGCGAAGAACCUUACCAAGGCUUGACAUGAACCGGAAAUACCUGGAAACAGGUGCCCCGCUUGCGGUCGGUUUACAGGUGGUGCAUGGUUGUCGUCAGCUCGUGUCGUGAGAUGUUGGGUUAAGUCCCGCAACGAGCGCAACCCUCGUUCUAUGUUGCCAGCGCGUUAUGGCGGGGACUCAUAGGAGACUGCCGGGGUCAACUCGGAGGAAGGUGGGGACGACGUCAAAUCAUCAUGCCCCUUAUGUCUUGGGCUUCACGCAUGCUACAAUGGCCGGUACAAAGGGUUGCGAUACUGUGAGGUGGAGCUAAUCCCAAAAAGCCGGUCUCAGUUCGGAUUGGGGUCUGCAACUCGACCCCAUGAAGUCGGAGUCGCUAGUAAUCGCAGAUCAGCAACGCUGCGGUGAAUACGUUCCCGGGCCUUGUACACACCGCCCGUCAAGUCACGAAAGUUGGUAACACCCGAAGCCGGUGGCCUAACCCCUUGUGGGAGGGA